GGUUCGUUGGUCUAGCGGUAUGAUUCUCGCUUAGGGUAACAACUCUGAGUAACAAAUUUGCGAGAGGUCCCGGGUUCAAUCCCCGGACGAACCC
This is a non-coding RNA of Cercophora newfieldiana, 94 nucleotides long. The record is from the annotation of a GenBank genome assembly. NCBI's taxonomy places the organism in Eukaryota, Fungi, Ascomycota, Sordariomycetes, Sordariales, Lasiosphaeriaceae.